Long non-coding RNA from Hypanus sabinus (Atlantic stingray), 5785 nucleotides. RefSeq lists it as uncharacterized. The transcript is spliced from 4 exons. NCBI's taxonomy places the organism in Eukaryota, Metazoa, Chordata, Chondrichthyes, Myliobatiformes, Dasyatidae. The record is from RefSeq and is a predicted model, not a curated record.
UAAAUCAAAGCAUUGAGUACAGAAGUUGGGAUAUAAUGCUAAAGUUGUACAAGGCAUUGGUAAGGCCAAAUUUGGAAUAUUGUGUGCAGUUCUGGUCACCGAAUUAUAGGAAAGAUAUCAAUAAAUUAGAGAGAGUGCAGAGACGAUUUACUAGGAUGUUACCUGGGUUUCAGCAAUUAAGUUACAGAGAAAGGUUGAACAAGUUAGGUCUCUAUUCAUUGGAGCGUAGAAGGUUGAGGGGGGAUUUGAUCGAGGUAUUUAAAAUUUUGAGAGGGAUAGAUAGAGUUGACGUGAACAGGCUGUUUCCAUUGAGAGUAGGGGAGAUUCAAACUAGAGGACAUGAUUUGAGAGUUAGGGGGCAGAAGUUUAAGGGAAACACGAGGGGGUAUUUCUUUGCUCAAAGAGUGAUAGCUGUGUGGAAUGAGCUUCCUGUAGAAGUAGUAGAGGCCAGUUCAGUUGUGUCAUUUAAGGUAAAAUUGGAUAGGUAUAUGGACAGGAAAGGAGUGGAGGGUUAUGGGCUGAGUGCGGGUAGGUGGGACUAGGUGAGAUUAAGGGUUCGGCACGGACUAGGAGGGUCAAGAUGGCCUGUUUCCGUGCUGUGAUUGUUAUAUGGUUGUUAUAUGGUUAUUAGGCCUGGAAGACCAGCAUGCCUUCAGGGUUCCGGAUUUUCUGCAGGCAGGCGGAUUUGAGGUCAGUGCCGUCACCUGGUGUGUCGUGGAAGUACAUGGAAGAUCGAAAGCAGUGAGCUGGCUGCUGGCUGUGUGCCCAGAGACCUGAGAUUGGAAAAAGUGAUGCAGCGGACUUUUAACACCAUAAAUUGACAAGUUAGACCAUAAGCUUCUGCCUGUACACGAGCAGAUGGAGGAGUGGUCAGACAUCCCAAAUGGUGGAUGCAGGAGCUCUUUGGAAGCAUUGUGGAAAGGAGAAUAGCAGUGGUCGAGUAUGCUAUCUCCCCAUGUGCGCACCUGGAUAUGUUGACGAAACUUCAGAGAGACUUCAGUCAGCGACACCUGAUUAAAGUCUCCGGCUGUAAAAGCAGCCUCUGGGUGCUGAUGGUCUCAUAUGUUUUCUUGAGAGGCAGAUUACUAUCAGCCUGCGGCAGAAUAUACACAGCUGGGAUAAUAACAGCCAUGAACUCUCUAGGCUGCCAGAAUGGUCUACACAGCAGUACAAGGUACUCCAGAUCCGGGGAACAAAAGGAUUUGAGGGCAUGCAUGUUCUGGAGGUCUGCACCUCACUCUGGCAAAAAGUUGUGGAUCAAGUGCUGCAAGGUUGCCAAGGCACUCAAUGUAUCUAGAUGACAUCAUUGUUACCAGUAAGGAUGACAUGUCCAAACACAAAAGACUGUGUUAAAAAAGAUUAUGGGCUCAGAGCACGAUGAAACCAGUGUGAAUUAUUUAAACCAAGCAUCUCUUACUGUGGUCGCACCGUCGAUGCACAAGCAUUACACAAGUGUGCUGAGAAAAUUCAAACACUGAUGCACUCACCAAGGCGAAAGGACAUAUCACAGUUGCGGUCCAUUUUAUGACUUUCAAUUACUAUAACAGGUUCCUGUCAUACCUGGUUACUCUUGAAAUCAUUACUCCAGAUUGGAAAGAAAUGGCAGUGGACAAAUGGCAAGGAAAUAGUGAAGCCGUGUGAAGUAGCUUUUUAAUGGAUAAAGGAAAUGGUGAUGUCACACACUGUACUGACAUAUUAUGAUCCACAUCGUACAGUGAAACUCAACAUAUGUAUAGAUAUUCUGUAAGUGAGUUGGAAUUUAUAGCUAAGCUGGGAGGAGAGCUGUAAUAUUUGAGUUACUAAUAUUUGAGAGCUGUUCAUCGACUAUAGCUUAGCAUUUAAUACCAUUAUUCCCACAAUCCUGAAACGUCAACUGUUCUUCUUCCUAUAGAUGCUGCUUGGCCUGCUGCGUUCCACCAGCAUUUUGUGUGUGUUGUGUGGAUCAUCAGAGUCUCCCUCACCACUCUUCUUGACAUUUACUGGGAGUGUUGCAGACAAAGAGCCUAAAGGAUGUGUUGAGGAUCCGUACUAUACAUCCCAUAAUCUCUUUGACCCUCUAUCAUCAGGAAAGAGUUACAGAAUUGGGACUAGGACUGCGAAAUGGGUAGCAGCUUCUUCCCUCAUGUUUUCAGAUUCAUGAAUACCCUGCCACCAGUGAGGUCUCAUCACUAAGACAAAUUUUCCAGACUGUUGAAAAGGCUGUGAAUUAGAAGAUACCAUACGUGACUCUGCUUUCAACGAGGCAAGGAGGGAAAAGCAAACCACUGGUAAGACAUCACAGGAGAAUUAUGAAACAAAAUUGGAUACACAGACAUAAAAGAAGUGUUAUUAAGGUAAAUAAAAGGAGGCAUAAAUGUGGAGUAGUUUAGAAAAGGAUUUUUUGGGGCACUCUUAGGGUAUUGGAUAUUGGGUGAGGGUGACCAAAGCCUUAAGUCUAUCAACAGUGGUGGCACAAUUAACAAGUUAGCAUGCAAGGUGAAUGAAAGGAGAGAAAUGGAGGAAAGCUGGUAUCUUUGAGGUUGGACAGCUGGAGGAAAUAGAGAGAAGGACAGGGGUGAGGCUUUGGAAAUACUCGCAAAGAAUAUUAACGUUGAAAUGCACCUUAAUCAGAACCCAAAGUUGGGCAGCAAGCCACAAGGGUAACAAGUGAACAGAAUAAUGCAGAUUAGGACAGCAGCAAAGCUUUAGAUGACCUCACAUUUACAGAAGGUAAAAUGUAGGAAUCUGGCGAGGAUUACUAUGGAGUAGUCAUAUCUAAAAGAAAUCAGAACCUUGGAUACAGGUUUUGGCUGCCAGGAAAGGUUAUGGUAAUAAAACUAAAUUACCUUACUGAUGGUGGGGAAAUUUAGUUCAAAGCUCAUUAAUGGUUCAGAUAUGACAGAAGUUGCAAACAAAGUGGUUCAGCUUCAGACAAUUGACCAGCAGAGGAAUUAAAUCAGUGGCCAUGGCUGUGGUUUGUGCAGUGGACCAAGGACUUAAAUUAUCCCAGAAUCUAACUGAAGGAAAUAUCUGUUCAUCCAGUGCCAAAUGUCAGACAAGCUGAUGAGCAAUUAAGAAGCAGUAGAGGGAUGGAAAGCCUGUAAUUUCCUUUUAAAGGAAGUACUUUUGAAACAUCUGAGUGAACUGAUGAUUUUGAGAUCUCCUGGGGGUUUUAAUGAACUAGACCCUCGAGAAUGCAGGUAUGGCUGGAGUGGCCAUCGCUGGGUCAGAUGCUGCAUUAAGGCCAGACAGUGGAAGAUGAGCCCAUGCCAAUUAAAGUGUCGAGCAAGAUUAAAAUGAUUGAGGCUGAGAGUGGAAAAUAAACAGGUGUUCAGUGCCAUCUGCCUGCGAUUGACUGGUCUCCCUCUCUUCUCUCUAUUACCGUUGUGCGGGAGGUGCAGCUGUCUUGCGUCCCACCCCACCAGGCUCAGAUGCAGUUGUGGAACUGGGCUCCUGGACCGGCCUCACUCAGCAAUGAACUGGCUUUGCAGCUGUAGAUUCACCUUUGAUGACUCCACAGUUUAUGUUCUAUGUACAUUUUGUUUACUCAUUUUUAACUAUGUGUUGCGAUUUGUCCUCUUUUGCACGUUGGUUGUGUGAAAGUCAUGUGGGAUUUUUUGUGGUUUCUAUUGUGCUUCUUUGUUUUAUGGCUGCCUGCAAGAAGAUGAAUCUCAAGGUUAUUUAUCAAUACAUAAGUUGAUAAAAAAAAUAUUGAGCUUUGAACUUCAAAAGAAAGAGCAGUGAAGAGGAACUGUAUUCCAUCAGCCCUGAUGUGGAAGAUGAAGUUUACUGUUUUGGAUGAUUUCACAGUGAUUUAAUGUUUAUACACAGAGAGCAGUAGUUUUUUUGCUGUUGUAGUUUAAUAUUAGGGCAGAGGAGACGAGAACGAUCGAUUUCUUUGAAAAUCAAACACCUUGAAAAUUUGUAAUGAUCUCAGUAACUCCCACCAACAGUAUGAUUAUAUUUAUAGUGUGGUUUGCAUUGAGUGAAAUAUUAUUUUUUCUGUGACUUACAGGAACUCUUACUACAUAUCGGAGGUCCACUGCAUUCUUGGUUUAAUGCAGUCAGGUGUCAGAAGGCUGACCUCAUUCCCUUUUUAUUCCACCAAUUUCUGGCCAAUAUCUAUGUAAGAUAAUUUUAUAUCAAUGUGAAUUUUUGAAGAAAUACAGCUUAGGUUACAGCAUUAUUUUCAGCAAUAAUUUGACCAAUUGGCUGUCUGUCCACUUGGAGCGAUUCAGGGUGUAUUCUGAAGAAAUUAUAUCAAAAACGAGAGUCAUUAUUCUUCGUGUGAGUUACUCAAAACAAAAUAUCUUUGAAGCGCAUUCCAACUUCUGCUUCUUUGCCAAAUGUAUAUGGCAGGAGCUCAGGAAUACCAGUUUUGUUCUGUUUCCAGAAGUUUUUCCUUUACUGACAACUGAGGUGGCGGAGAAUGACGGAUGGCUUGCUGAAGCAAUUGAGACAUGUGAUUUGAACUGAAAUGCUAUUGUGCUGCAUGGUCUGAACUGCAAUAAUCUCACAUUUUGUUUCUCUGCUCCUUACAAAGCAGUAGUAUGAGCUGCAGGCAUUAUUAUGGGGAAGAGGAUGCUCUGAGCGACUCCUUUGUGCGGCAACAAAGUCUUGCUUUCAGUGAGUCCAGUGAUUGCAAUCAGUGGAAAAAAUACGAUGGACAUCUGCCAGGCAUCAGUCAAAGACUUGGACCAAGAGACUGCAGCUGCUGUUAGUAGAUAGGACAUUAAAAAGCAAUGAAGACCAACAUAAACUUACUGAGUCAACCUUCCUUGCUAUUACUCCUACUAGGUUAGAUCUAGCAUAUGGUUUCUCAUGUUUCUCCUAAACCAUUCAAUUUUUAUGUUAGUGAUGAAGUCAAAGAAUUUUGAAAUGUAUAUGUAGAUAAACUGGGGAAAUUUGGUCGUGACACUAGAGGAAAUUACGGGCAUAGGGAAUCGUGGAUCCUUGAAAGCAGAAGUUAUCUAAGUGUACUGUGGCAGGGCAUUGAUAAUGGGGUGUCAGGAUAUGUAAUACAAGGGGAUGGUGAUGACCUGAUCAUUGGGCUCUGAUUUUAUGAACGUACACUUGCUGAGGCCAAGGAAAAUAAAGCCUGAGCUUCUUGAAAAAAAAUGUGGUUUGGUAAAAGGUAUACCUGAAGUUUGUCAUUCCUCGAUCACAUCCUGCAACUGGAAUUCUUGAAGGCUGGGAGCCCCAGCCUCCCGAUAUCAUACAGCACGAAUGGUGGCACAUGACCUCUUUUUUUUUGUCUGACUUAGCAGUCAAUAGUUGGUUAGCCAGCUGCUACCCCCACCCCUGACCUGCCUCUGAUAAAACCUGUUCUAGUCUGCACCACUUGACUUUCUGUUGUCACACUUUUAUCAUGAUUCAAACAUUAAUCUUUUUUCCGUUAUAAUAUCUGCUUUCUAUAAUUACAACAUAUUUUGUAUGAAGUAAACUUGACACUCGUUGAUUGUUCAAUUUGCCUACAAAUUGCUGAAUCUACUAACUUCUUUGCUGCUCCUUAUUUUUCCUAGUGAUAUUCCUGACAACUAAUAUCAAACUGAAAAGAAAAGCAUAAUAGUUUUAUAUUUUAAAAUAUAAUAACAAAAUUAACUUCAACUGUUGAAUUAUUGUCUAUGACUUUUAAGCUGGAAUUAAAAAUCACUAUGCAUGAUGUGCAAAAUUGGCCUUCAGUACUGUGCAAGCUGUUUGGGGGCUAAUACAUUGUCCAAUGAAUGUGAUUUUUUUAUAUGCGGGUGAACUGCAGUGAAUGACAAACUGAAUAUCAAGUACCUUUUGAAAGUCUAUAAAUAAAAAA